Molecule: ribosomal RNA, 473 nt
Filed under: uncultured bacterium
Lineage: Bacteria
Description: partial 16S ribosomal RNA
Rfam family: Bacterial small subunit ribosomal RNA
Source: RNAcentral
GAUGAACGCUAGCGGCAGGCCUAAUACAUGCAAGUCGAACGGGCGGUAGCAAUACCGCUAGUGGCGCACGGGUGCGUAACGCGUAACCAACCUGCCCAGAUCUGUGGGAUAGCCCGCCGAAAGGCGGAUUAAUACCGCAUAAACCCACAGUGUGGCAUCACAUAAUGGGUAAAGAUUUAUCGGAUCUGGAUGGGGUUGCGUAGCAUUAGCUAGUUGGCGGGGUAAUGGCCCACCAAGGCGACGAUGCUUAGGGGACCUGAGAGGGUGAUCCCCCACACUGGGACUGGGAUAAGGGCCAGACUCCUACGGGAGGCAGCAGUAGGGAAUAUUGGGCAGUGGGCGAGAGCCUGACCCAGCCAUGCAGCGUGGCGGAUGAAGGCCUUCUGGGUUGUAAACGGCUUUUCACAGGGAAGAAAUCGGGGAUGCGUCCUCAACUGACGGUACCUGAGGAAUAAGCACCGGCUAACUCCGUG